GACGAACGCUGGCGGCGUGCUUAACACAUGCAAGUCGAACGGUGAAAGCAGAGCUUGCUCUUACGGAUCAGUGGCAAACGGGUGUGACACACGUGAGUAACCUGCCUCAGACUCUGGUAUAAGCGCUGGAAUCGGCCUAUAAUACCGGAUACGCGACAGCGCCGCAUGGCUAGUGUCUGGAAAGUUUUUCGGUCUGGGAUGGACUCGCGGCCUAUCAGCUUGUUGGUGGGGUAACGGUUCACCAAGGCAACGACGGGUCGCCGGCCUGAGAGGGGGACGGGCCACACUGGGAUUAGGACACGGCCAAGACUCCAACGGGAGGCAGCGGUGGGAAUAAUUGCACAAGGGGCGAAAGCCUAAUGAGGAGACGCCGGUGGAGGAAUAAGGCCCUUCGGGUGGAAAACCUCUUUGAGCAGGAAGGAAGCGAAAGUGACGGUACCGGCAAAAGAAGCACCGGCUAACUACGUG
RNAcentral lists this ribosomal RNA (468 nucleotides) under uncultured bacterium. RNAcentral's name for it is "partial 16S ribosomal RNA". It matches the Rfam family "Bacterial small subunit ribosomal RNA", at positions 28 to 507 of the family's 1533-position model. The record is from RNAcentral.